Molecule: ribosomal RNA, 271 nt
Filed under: uncultured archaeon
Lineage: Archaea
Description: partial 16S ribosomal RNA
Rfam family: Archaeal small subunit ribosomal RNA
Source: RNAcentral
CAGCGCCACGAGUGGCAACCGCGAUUAUUGGGCCUAAAGCGUCCGUAGCCGGUUUGGUAAAUCUUUUGUGAAAUUGUACAGCUCAACUGUACAGCGUGCAAGAGACACUGCCAAACUCGAGACCGGGAGGAGUCAGAAGUAUUCCAGGGGGAGCGGUAAAAUGUUAUAAUCCCUGGAGGACUACCUGUGGCGAAGGCGUCUGACCAGAACGGAUCUGACGGUGAGGGACGAAAGCCAGGGGAGCGAACCGGAUUAGAUACCCGAGUAGUCC